Molecule: long non-coding RNA, 1696 nt
Organism: Magnolia sinica
Lineage: Eukaryota; Viridiplantae; Streptophyta; Magnoliopsida; Magnoliales; Magnoliaceae
Exons: 3
Source: RefSeq, a predicted model, not a curated record
CAACCUGGUUUCUCAUUUUCUUCUUCCGCCGGUGGGGUGAGCUCCAAAUCUCUGAAGGAUUUCAGGCAUCUCUCCUGCCGUGGGAUGCAAGCUCUGGUUGAGGACUACAUUUUCACCUAGUGUAAUUGAUUUUGUUUCUGCCCAGUGGAUGGGCCAUAUGCCAGAAGGCAGGCAGAUUGGACCACCGAUCAUCAGACAUUUGGCAAGUGCUGGAUGGUUAAGGUUUCUUUUUUUUUUUUUUUUUUUUUUAAUUUUUAUUUUUUAUUUGUUCAAUUACUAGGAUAUUUGGCUUACAACCCAUUUAAGAUGUACUGGUAUCAGUGAGCAUCAAGCUUACAUCCUAUACAUUCCCUUGUUGGGCCCACUUAAAAUUUGGAAUAUUUUCAGUUUUUAUGUGCCUACUAAUUCUGCUCAGUUUCACCUUCUAACAGGGGUUAGAUGACAAAUAAAAAACAAGGUGGGCUUCAUAGUCCAUUUGAAAGUUGGUGUGUAGUGUUAUACGAUGUUAUCCUUUUUUACUCAAAUUUUAUUCCUGGUAAGUCAUGUUAGAAUUUAAAUUGCUUUACGCUCCCGUAAUAGGCACAAUUCAUAGUAAAGCGACUACUUGUUUCUAUCUGUUCUUGUUAUUAAAGUGACUGCUUAAUCCAUGGUAAAUCCGUAUUCACUGUACUUUGGUAUAUAAUUGUCCCUAGCACCUUGCAUCAUUUUCAAAGUUCCUCAUUUAUUUCAAAUUUUAUUUCAGUCUAUUCUAAAUCCUGUUUCAAUCACAGUUUUUUUAUUUUUUAUUUUUAUAAAUUAUAAAUGUUUCUUCUAAAUGUUGUUUCUGCUAUGUUGUAAUUCGAAAUUGACUUAACAGGAUUUGUUAAAAUGGCAGGAGAAUCAGUUUGGUAUAGUAGAUGCUUGCUACCCUCAGUCAGAAUGUUACCAUUGCACUCACUUCGAAUGUUUCAAACAGGCCAAUCCAUGACUUAUGUGGGCCACACCACAAGCAACAGAUAAGAGUGGAUGCCUGCCCAGUGAAACCUUCUUGAUUUAGGUGGUAAAUAAAUGUAUAAAGACAGUAGGAAUUGGUUUUAUGAUGUCUCCCAAAUACACCACCCAUCAAUGAAAAUUGUUGGUCUUGUGAGGAAACUGCUCAAAGUGAAGACAGUCUUCAAUAUCUUGGGACCUAUGUUGAAUCCAGCGCAGGUACCUUUCGCAGUUGUUGGUGUCUAUGAUGAGGAUUUGGUAAGUCUGAUAUAUUGGAUGUCUUGACAACAUGACUCAGCUAUUAUUGUUGAAUUUAGCAAAUGAUCGUUUUGCUGGAUAAGCAAAGACUAAUAUUAAGCUUUGCCAUGUCUCAGGAGACAAAAAUUAGUUGAAUAGAAGAGAAACAGGUACCAUUUUUGUGAGAAUAUAUAGAAUCUCUGACUAGUUGGAUGGUGUUUGGAAAAAUGUAUAUUGUAUUAUUGUAGUUGUUGUUUGCAUGAAAAAUACGAUACAUAUUGUUGUUAUGCAGCUUAUGCUUUGUGAGAACCCCUAAAUUUCUUUAUCUAUGACAGCCCUCUAAUUGAAUGGUGAAGAUUGUUUAAUAGAUGUGAUUGUGGUGUGUUGCCCUUGCCCAUCUUCAUACCCAUCAGGUGAGCUUUCAUCAGGACUACUUGGCAGUAAGAGUGAGGUGGAUGUAAGUUCUCGGAACCUUAAAUUAAUCUUGAAU